GACGAACGCUGGCGGCGUGCUUAACACAUGCAAGUCGAACGGAAAGGCCCUGCUUUUGUGGGGUGCUCGAGUGGCGAACGGGUGAGUAACACGUGAGUAUCCCGCCCUUGACUUUCGGAUAACUUCUGGAAACUCGGGCUCAUACCCGAUAGAAGCUCCUGCUGCAUGGUGGGCGUUGGUAAGUUUCGGCGGUUGUGGCUGGAUUCGCGGCUUAUCAGCUUGUUGGUGUGGUAGUGGCUUACCAAGGCUUUGACGGGUAGCCGGCCUGAGAGGGUGACCGGCCACAUGGGGACUGAGAUACGGCGCAGACGGCUACGGGAGGCAGUAGUGGGGAAUAUUGCAGAAUGGGCGGAAGCGUGAUGCAGCAACGUCGCGUGCGGGAUGACGGGCUUCGGGUGGUAAACCGAUUUCGCAUGUGACGAAGAGUGAGUGACGGUAAUGGGUAAAGAAGCAACGGCUAACUACGUG
RNAcentral lists this ribosomal RNA (468 nucleotides) under uncultured bacterium. RNAcentral describes it as "partial 16S ribosomal RNA". It matches the Rfam family "Bacterial small subunit ribosomal RNA", at positions 28 to 507 of the family's 1533-position model. The record is from RNAcentral.